CUCGGGUACUCGAGCCUCUCGGCUGCUCCCGGUCGCCCAGCGGGGGAGCCGGGUCGGAGGGGCCGGGACGGCCGAGAAGCUCGUCUGCGCCCCCCCCUUGGUGCUACGGGGCUUUGGAGAAGACCCCCGAUCUCCAGCCCCUUCCCUCAAAGCUGUGAGCCGUGGUCCGGUUCCGGGGCAGCCCAUCCUCGUGUUCCCCAUUUGUAGAAUGGGGGUCCCCAGCCCCUACGUCAGAGACAGGAAAAUAUUCAGAAACCUUCGAACAGUGUGGACUCCGGGAAGGACACGAAGGCCCGGAAACAUGAAGUGGCCGCCCAAGGGGCUCAGCUAGUGCCCGGCAGGACGAGAAGGGCAAGGUGCCCACCUGGGGUAACCCGCACUGCAGGAUCUGGGCUGGGGUGCGCUUUUGUGCCUUGUCAGGAGUGAGCGGGUUGUGUUUAAAUUUGGGGAGUCGAGGAGGGGAAUUAAGUUUUAAAUGAAUUGCCCAGACGGCGGGGCUCAGUGGUUGAGUGUCACCUCGGAACUAGGAGGUCAGGGCACACGCUGGGGUUUCCGGGCUGGAUCCCCGUGUGGGGCGUGCAGAAGCAGCCCAUCAAUGAUUCUCUCUCAUCAUUGAUGUUUCUAUCUCUCUCUCCCUCUCCCUUCCUCUCUGAAAUCCAUGAAAAUACAUUUUUAAACAUUUUUAAGUGAAUGAAUGUUGGGAGUGGAGAGAAGUGAGGACAAGAAGUAGCACCAUCAGGACUUACAGUUAUACCUCGGAGAUAUUGUGGACUUGGUUCCUUACUAUUGCAAUAAAGUGAGUCACACGAA
This is a long non-coding RNA of Myotis lucifugus (little brown bat), 810 nucleotides long. RefSeq lists it as uncharacterized. NCBI's taxonomy places the organism in Eukaryota, Metazoa, Chordata, Mammalia, Chiroptera, Vespertilionidae. The record is from RefSeq and is a predicted model, not a curated record. The transcript is spliced from 2 exons.